GACGAGCGCUGGCGGCGUGCUUAACACAUGCAAGUCGAACGGAAAGGCCCUGCUUUUGUGGGGUGCUCGAGUGGCGAACGGGUGAGUAACACGUGAGUAACCUGCCCUUGACUUUGGGAUAACUUCAGGAAACUGGGGCUAAUACCGGAUAGGAGCUCCUGCUGCAUGGUGGGGGUUGGAAAGUUUCGGCGGUUGGGGAUGGACUCGCGGCUUAUCAGCUUGUUGGUGGGGUAGUGGCUUACCAAGGCUUUGACGGGUAGCCGGCCUGAGAGGGUGACCGGCCACAUUGGGACUGAGAUACGGCCCAGACUCCUACGGGAGGCAGAAGUGGGGAAUAUUGCACAAUGGGCGGAAGCCUGAUGCAGCAACGCCGCGUGCGGGAUGACGGCCUUCGGGUUGUAAACCGCUUUCGCCUGUGACGAAGCGUGAGUGACGGUAAUGGGUAAAGAAGCACCGGCUAACUACGUG
Molecule: ribosomal RNA, 468 nt
Filed under: uncultured bacterium
Lineage: Bacteria
Description: partial 16S ribosomal RNA
Rfam family: Bacterial small subunit ribosomal RNA
Source: RNAcentral